This 1373-nucleotide ribosomal RNA is filed under the name uncultured bacterium. RNAcentral's name for it is "16S ribosomal RNA". It matches the Rfam family "Bacterial small subunit ribosomal RNA". The record is from RNAcentral.
UUAGAGUUUGAUCCUGGCUCAGGACGAUUGCUGGCGGCACGCUUAACACAUGCAAGUCGAACGAGAGAAGAGAAGCUUGCUUUUCUGAUCUAGUGGCGGACGGGUGAGUAACACGUGAGCAAUCUGCCUUUCAGAGGGGGAUACCGAUUGGAAACGAUCGUUAAUACCGCAUAACAUAAUUGAACCGCAUGAUUUGAUUAUCAAAGAUUUAUCGCUGAAAGAUGAGCUCGCGUCUGAUUAGCUAGUUGGUAAGGUAACGGCUUACCAAGGCGACGAUCAGUAGCCGGACUGAGAGGUUGAUCGGCCACAUUGGGACUGAGACACGGCCCAGACUCCUACGGGAGGCAGCAGUGGGGAAUAUUGCACAAUGGAGGAAACUCUGAUGCAGCGAUGCCGCGUGAGGGAAGAAGGUUUUAGGAUUGUAAACCUCUGUCUUUGGGGACGAAAAAUGACGGUACCCAAGGAGGAAGCUCCGGCUAACUACGUGCCAGCAGCCGCGGUAAUACGUAGGGAGCGAGCGUUGUCCGGAAUUACUGGGUGUAAAGGGAGCGUAGGCGGGAUCGCAAGUCAGAUGUGAAAACUAUGGGCUUAACCCAUAAACUGCAUUUGAAACUGUGGUUCUUGAGUGAAGUAGAGGUAAGCGGAAUUCCUAGUGUAGCGGUGAAAUGCGUAGAUAUUAGGAGGAACAUCAGUGGCGAAGGCGGCUUACUGGGCUUUAACUGACGCUGAGGCUCGAAAGCGUGGGGAGCAAACAGGAUUAGAUACCCUGGUAGUCCACGCCGUAAACGAUGAUUACUAGGUGUGGGGGGACUGACCCCUUCCGUGCCGCAGCAAACGCAAUAAGUAAUCCACCUGGGGAGUACGACCGCAAGGUUGAAACUCAAAGGAAUUGACGGGGGCCCGCACAAGCAGUGGAGUAUGUGGAUUAAUUCGAAGCAACGCGAAGAACCUUACCAGGUCUUGACAUCGUAUGCAUAGCUCAGAGAUGAGUGAAAUCUCUUCGGAGACAUAUAGACAGGUGGUGCAUGGUUGUCGUCAGCUCGUGUCGUGAGAUGUUGGGUUAAGUCCCGCAACGAGCGCAACCCUUACUGUUAGUUGCUACGCAAGAGCACUCUAGCAGGACUGCCGUUGACAAAACGGAGGAAGGUGGGGAUGACGUCAAAUCAUCAUGCCCCUUAUGACCUGGGCCUCACACGUACUACAAUGGCUGUCAACAGAGGGAUGCAAAGCCGCGAGGUGGAGCGAACCCCUAAAAGCAGUCUUAGUUCGGAUUGUAGGCUGCAACCCGCCUACAUGAAGUCGGAAUUGCUAGUAAUCGCAGAUCAGCAUGCUGCGGUGAAUACGUUCCCGGGCCUUGUACACACCGCCCGUCA